Molecule: ribosomal RNA, 320 nt
Filed under: uncultured eukaryote
Lineage: Eukaryota
Description: partial 18S ribosomal RNA
Rfam family: Eukaryotic small subunit ribosomal RNA
Source: RNAcentral
CCCCUAGAUGUUCUGGGCCGCACGCGCGCUACACUGGACAGUUCAACAAGUCUUAACCUUGGCCGAUAGGUCUGGGUAAUCUUUGAACGCUGUUCGUGAUUGGGAUAGACCUUUGCAAUUAUGGGUCUUCAACGAGGAAUUCCUAGUAAACGCAAGUCAUCAGCUUGCAUUGAUUACGUCCCUGCCCUUUGUACACACCGCCCGUCGCACCUACCGAUUGAAUGGUCCGGUGAAAUCUCGGGACGGCGGCUUGGUCGCUUGCGUCCGACUGCUGAAACUUGAUUAAACCAUAUCAUUUAGAGGAAGGUGAANUCGUAACA